This 2733-nucleotide long non-coding RNA is filed under the name Mus musculus (house mouse). RNAcentral's name for it is "long non-coding RNA chr4:18097617-18100350". The record is from RNAcentral. Lineage: Eukaryota; Metazoa; Chordata; Mammalia; Rodentia; Muridae.
AAACCAUAUUUUGAAAUAAAUUCACCCUGGCCAUAUGUCCCUUCCAAAUGCAGUUGAGUCCUAUGAAUAGUCUAGAGAAAUAUUAGAGGCAUCUGUGAUUUGGUUUAGGAAUUAGAGGUACAAAAAUCGUAAACCACAUAGAAAUUCAUUUUCUACUUAAACAUACAUAAAAGUGGAAGAGAGAACAAGAUUUAGUGGUGUGUCUCCAAAAUACACAAAGAAUUCUGAAAUCUUAAUUGUAUAAAGCUCAAUAAAAAUGAAUACAAUAUGGAUAAAAGUUCCACUAGGUUUAAUGUGUGGUUGAGAGAUGAAAGUUGGGGGAAGUGGGGAGGAAUACAUAGAAGCCUGUGGUGAUCUUCAAGGACAAAACUGUCCAUUAUUUUAGUCACUGGAUAUUUUGACAUGAACAGUAAUAUGCACAUAUCAAAUAUGAAAACUUUACACGUUGUAUUUAAAUACAUGUUAUUUACUAUGCUAUUAUAUUUAUGCCAAACAAAACUCUCGUGUAAAUGAGGAAACCUAUCAAUUUAUGCAUCCCACAAAUUCAAAUAUUCUUGGUCAUAGGUAUUAGAAUUAAUUAGUUUAUUCCUCCAGGACAUGUUAAAUGUAAAAACCCACAUAAUACAUUGCUCUUUAUAAUUCUGUCCUGGGUGAGAGAUAAAAUGAUAGUAAAGUGGGCCCCUAAUAGCACAGCUUCCACUUCCUAGCAACUUCCUGUGUUGGCUUACGUUCUCCUAUUAGAACAUUUAAUAGAAUGAGGAAGUAAGUCUUAAUGGAGAGAUAACCAGUGACUGAAGCUUUAUUAAAAACAAUGCAUAAUCUUAAUUUAAUGAUGUAUCCUAUUCUCUUGAAAUAAUUUUAAUGCAUUCUCUAAUAAGAAUCUAUACAAAUAAUGAAUAUUAAUGAGUAUUAGCAAAAACACUUUUGCAUAAUCUCACCCUGUUAUAUUUUGUUAUUGCUGUUCUAUCUUUACUGAUUUCCCAAGUAUGAGUUUUGCUUAUUUCUAAUGUCUUGCUAUUAAGUUAUAUGUUCCUCAAAAGAACCCUUGAGAUUUUGUGACAUGAAGAAAGGCAAAAGUUGACAAACAUAUUAAUGAUUAUUUUAAAAAUCCACUAAAUGUUUGGAUGUACGGUUCUUUCCAAAAAAGAGAAGGGGAGAAGGAGGAGGAGGAAGAGGAGGAAGAGGAGGAGGAGGAUGUCAUCAUUCUAGAGGCUGGGGAGAUGAGUUCUUGGAGCUUAGUUUCUAGUGCCCAAGUCAGAUAGCUCACAAUCACCUCACCUCUUAGACAGUAACUCCUGUGGUAUUAACAUUCAUACAACCACACAUAUUCAUACACUUAGCUAAUUAAAAAAGAAGUCAUUGCAUAAUGUCUCCUUCUAACUUUCUGAGAUGCUCUGCAGUACAACUGUGUACAUAUGAGUGUGAACUGGGCAUGAGUAUAGUUGUUACACAGAUCAUUCAAAGCGUGUAUUUGCUGUAUAUAAAAUGAUUGGAUUACAUUCAUACUUAUAAUGUCUAGAUCAACUUUCCCCCCUUAUUCCUCUGCCUCUACAUUUUGCAGCUAACUUCUCCUUUAUUGGCGUUCAUAAAGUGACUACUUUAGUAUGAAAGAACAAGAAAUCCAAUAAGCUAUCAAGUGUGCAGUCCAUUUGCCUGCCAGCAAGAAAAGCAGGAAAAUCUACUUCACAUAUGAUUGUGGAGAACUGCCUCAUAUUCCUCUGGGAAAGCUGAUAUCAUAAAAUCAUAUUUGGGAACAUAAUGAUGGCAGAUGUUUACAUUAAAUUACAAGUCAUGUUGAGUGCAUGCAUAUGAGAUAAUAAUUUCAAAAAUAAUCUGUGUAGAAAAUAGAACUGGUAAAAUUUCCCUCAUAAAGAAUCUAAACUUUAAAAAUGAGGAACAAGCCACUGUCGAAUCAAGCACUUUUAAAUUUGUCUCAAAUUCCUAUUUUCCUAUCACUUAGUAACUUUCAGCAGUAUUUUUUAGCAUGCUUGACAGUUUUAUUUCAAGAGAAAAAAAUCACUUGCAGAAUGGCAACUAAAGUAUGUAUCUGAAGACAGAAAGAGACUCAUAAAUUUGAGAAAAAAAAAAGUAUUAAAUACUAAAGAAGAAGCAAAUAAGAAUCAGUAUCUUCUAAAAAAUAGUUCAGAGCAAACAAUAACCAAAAGUUGCUUAUUUCAUAACAGUUUCUGCUCCUUGCAUUUUAUUUCAUUUCAAAUGAACCAGCAAUUACUUAUGCUGCUCACAAAUCAUUGCUUCUGGAGGUUUUAGAAGGUCUAGCAAAUUUAAGAUCAAAGUAACUUGUUUCUUUGACAGGGCAAUGGUUAAAAGAAAUCUACUAUAAGUACCUGAGAGAAAUCACCAAUUAUUUGUCUGUGAGUGAUAAUGAAAAAUAAGGGUUACAAUUGAUUUUCAGGAUUCUAACUGCAUGCAAAGAAUCAAUACAGAGCAUGUGAAUCAUAUUAUUGAAAUUAUAAAUAUUAGUUGAAUUCUCGCUUUUUAAAAUUUUGUCAAGAAAAUUUCAUUUAUAUGGAAGACUAUAAUAAAAAUACAUAGCAACAACUAUCUGACUUUAACCUAAGAUACUAAUUUACAUGAAUUAAUUAAUGUAUACAUUAAUUAGUUAUACUAAUAAAUAAAAACUGAUAAUACAUGCCAUAUAAAUGUUUUAAUUCUCUUUGUUUUAAUGCUCUUACUAAGGAACAUUUAAUUACACAAUAAAAUUUAAUACUUGAU